GCCACGUGAUGAUACAAAGGCGAGUGUGACCUCACGGCAACUGGAACUGAGGGGGCCGCCUGACCUCUGGGGCGGGGGAGGGUCUGUAAUCUUGGCGGGCGCAUCUGAGACCCGCGCGCCCGCUGUAAGGCCGGACCUACAGCAAGAUCCCGCGCCCGGCGACCGCGGAAGAGGCCGGGGGUGAGAGGGCGUCGCCCCGGCAGCGCUCGGGAGCAGGGCGCGGACACGGGGUGGGAGGGGUCGACGGGUGGGAGGUCAGGCGGGUGCCCCUCGAACCAGCCGGAGAGGAUGAUCGCACAUCUUUGGUAAUCUGAUGGCU
Molecule: small nucleolar RNA, 319 nt
Organism: Pristis pectinata (smalltooth sawfish)
Lineage: Eukaryota; Metazoa; Chordata; Chondrichthyes; Rhinopristiformes; Pristidae
Source: RefSeq, a predicted model, not a curated record